GUGGAGGUGAUGUUGGAGGUGCUGGAAUAAGUGAUGGUGGAAAUGAUGGUGGAGGUGCUGGAAUAAGUGAUGGUGGAGGUGCUGGAAUAAGUAAUGGUGGAGGUGCUGGAAUAAGUAAUGGUGGAGGUGCUGGAAUAAGUGAUGGUGGAGGUGAUGUUGGAGGUGCUGGAAUAAGUGAUGGUGGAGGUGAUGUUGGAGGUGCUGGAAUAAGUGAUGGUGGAGGUGAUGUUGGAGGUGCCGGAAUAAGUAUUGGUGGAGGUGAUGUAGGAGGUGCUGGAAUAAGUAUUGGUGGAGGUGAUGUUGGAGGUGCUGGAAUAAGU
This is a long non-coding RNA of Dicentrarchus labrax (European seabass), 320 nucleotides long. RefSeq lists it as uncharacterized. The transcript has 3 exons. Lineage: Eukaryota; Metazoa; Chordata; Actinopteri; Moronidae. The record is from RefSeq and is a predicted model, not a curated record.